Molecule: unclassified non-coding RNA, 24 nt
Filed under: Mus musculus (house mouse)
Lineage: Eukaryota; Metazoa; Chordata; Mammalia; Rodentia; Muridae
Description: oocyte_clustered_small_RNA11141
Source: RNAcentral
GAAGAUGAGCGUGGCAGUGUCUAU